AACAUGGCUCAGUUGGUAGAGCAACGCAUUCGUAAUGCGUGGGUCGGGGGUUCGAGUCCCCCUGUUG
Molecule: transfer RNA, 67 nt
Filed under: bovine gut metagenome
Rfam family: tRNA
About the family: Transfer RNA (tRNA) molecules are approximately 80 nucleotides in length.
Source: RNAcentral